This 71-nucleotide transfer RNA is filed under the name Marmota monax (woodchuck). RNAcentral's name for it is "tRNA.Ala". It matches the Rfam family "tRNA". From Rfam's summary of the family: Transfer RNA (tRNA) molecules are approximately 80 nucleotides in length. The record is from RNAcentral. Lineage: Eukaryota; Metazoa; Chordata; Mammalia; Rodentia; Sciuridae.
GGGGUUGUGGCUCAAAGGGAGAGCACUUGCCUAGCACGCGAGAGACUCUGGGUUUGAUCCUCAGCACCACA